Molecule: ribosomal RNA, 723 nt
Filed under: uncultured bacterium
Lineage: Bacteria
Description: bacterial SSU rRNA
Rfam family: Bacterial small subunit ribosomal RNA
Source: RNAcentral
AGGGGUUUGAUCCUGGCUCAGGACGAACGUUGGCGGUGCGCUUAAUGCAUGCAAGUCGAGGGAGAACCAUUCGAUCCGUAAGGACUGGAUGGGGAAACCGGCGAACGGGUGCGUAACACGUGAGGAACCUGCCCCGAAGACCGGGAUAGCCCGAGGAAACUCGGAUUAAUACCGGAUACCCUCUUUGGACCACAUGGUCCGCUGAGGAAAUGGUCCGCCGCUUCGGGAUGGCCUCGCGGCCUAUCAGCUUGUUGGUGAGGUAACGGCUCACCAAGGCAAAGACGGGUAGCUGGUCUGAGAGGACGAUCAGCCACACUGGGACUGAGACACGGCCCAGACUCCUACGGGAGGCAGCAGCAGGGAAUAUUGCACAAUGGGCGAAAGCCUGAUGCAGCGACACCGCGUGCGGGAUGAAGGCCCUCGGGUUGUAAACCGCUUUCAGGAGGGACGAAAAUGACGGUACCUCCAGAAGAAGGCCCGGCCAACUACGUGCCAGCAGCCGCGGUAAUACGUAGGGGCCAAACGUUGUCCGGAUUUAUUGGGCGUAAAGGGCUCGUAGGCGGUUCAACAAGUCGAUCGUGAAAGCCCGGGGCUCAACCCCGGGACGCCGGUCGAAACUGUUGUGACUAGGGUCCGGUAGAGGUGAGUGGAAUUCUCGGUGUAGCGGUGGAAUGCGCAGAUCUCGAGAGGAACACCAGUUGCGAAGGCGGCUCACUGGGGCGG